UAAAGUCGUAACAAGGUUUCCGUAGGUGAACCUGCGGAAGGAUCAUU
This 47-nucleotide ribosomal RNA is filed under the name Ampelomyces sp. DSM 2223. Its description in RNAcentral is "partial 18S ribosomal RNA". It matches the Rfam family "Eukaryotic small subunit ribosomal RNA", at positions 1784 to 1830 of the family's 1831-position model. The record is from RNAcentral. Lineage: Eukaryota; Fungi; Ascomycota; Dothideomycetes; Pleosporales; Phaeosphaeriaceae.